GCCUAAAGCGUCCGUAGCCGGCUCUGUCAGUUUUCGGUUAAAUCCAUAUGCUCAACAUAUGGGCCGCCGGGAAUACUACAAAGCUAGGGAGUGGGAGAGGUAGACGGUACUCCGUAGGAAGGGGUAAAAUCCUUUGAUCUAUGGAUGACCACCAGUGGCGAAGGCGGUCUACCAGAACACGUUCGACGGUGAGGGAUGAAAGCUGGGGGAGCAAACCGGAUUAGAUACCCGGGUAGUCCCAGCUGUAAACUAUGCAAACUCAGUGAUGCAUUGGCUUGUGGCCAGUGCAGUGCCGCAGAGAAGUCGUUAAGUUUGCCGCCUGGGAAGUACGUACGCAAGUAUGAAACUUAAAGGAAUUGGCGGGGGAGCACCACAAGGGGUGAAGCCUGCGGUUCAAUUGGAGUCAACGCCAGAAAUCUUACCCGGAGAGACAGCAGGAUGAAGGUCAAGUUGAAGCCUUUACCAGACAAGCUGAGAAGUGGUGCAUGGCCGUCGCCAGCUCGUGCCGUGAGGUGUCCUGUUAAGUCAGGUAACGAGCGAGAUCCUUGCCUCUAGUUGCCACCAUUACUCUCAGGAGUAGUGGGGCGAAUUAGCGGGACUGCCGUAGUUAAUACGGAGGAAGGAGAGGGCCACGGCAGGUCAGUAUGCCCCGAA
RNAcentral lists this ribosomal RNA (654 nucleotides) under uncultured archaeon. RNAcentral's name for it is "bacterial SSU rRNA". It matches the Rfam family "Archaeal small subunit ribosomal RNA", at positions 508 to 1160 of the family's 1478-position model. The record is from RNAcentral.